GCUAAUGUCGGGCAGGCAGUGGGGGGAUUACGAAGGGGGCGAGGUUGGUUCGGAAUAACUGGGCGUAAAGCGCACGUAGGCGGACUUUUAAGUCAGGGGUGAAAUCCCGGGGCUCAACCUCGGAACUGCCUUUGAUACUGGAAGUCUGGAGUCCGAGAGAGGUGAGUGGAACUCCGAGUGUAGAGGUGAAAUUCGUAGAUAUUCGGAAGAACACCAGUGGCGAAGGCGGCUCACUGGCUCGGUACUGACGCUGAGGUGCGAAAGCGUGGGGAGCAAACAGGAUUAGAUACCCGUGUAGUU
RNAcentral lists this ribosomal RNA (300 nucleotides) under uncultured Bacillus sp. Its description in RNAcentral is "bacterial SSU rRNA". It matches the Rfam family "Bacterial small subunit ribosomal RNA", at positions 496 to 795 of the family's 1533-position model. Lineage: Bacteria; Bacillati; Bacillota; Bacilli; Caryophanales; Bacillaceae. The record is from RNAcentral.